Molecule: transfer RNA, 58 nt
Filed under: Dipodomys ordii (Ord's kangaroo rat)
Lineage: Eukaryota; Metazoa; Chordata; Mammalia; Rodentia; Heteromyidae
Rfam family: tRNA
About the family: Transfer RNA (tRNA) molecules are approximately 80 nucleotides in length. Their secondary structure includes four short double-helical elements and three loops (D, anti-codon, and T loops).
Source: Rfam by way of RNAcentral
UGGCUCAGUGGUAGAGCGCUUGCCUCACAUGCAUGAGGUCCUGGGUUCGAUUCCUCAG